GCCCUGGUAGUAUAGCCCGGCUUAGUAUAUUCGGCUGUCGCCCGAUUGACCCGGGUUCAAAUCCCGGCCAGGGCGCCA
This 78-nucleotide transfer RNA is filed under the name Candidatus Bathyarchaeota archaeon. Its description in RNAcentral is "tRNA-Asp". It matches the Rfam family "tRNA". Rfam says of the family: Transfer RNA (tRNA) molecules are approximately 80 nucleotides in length. Their secondary structure includes four short double-helical elements and three loops (D, anti-codon, and T loops). The record is from RNAcentral. RNAcentral also lists the same sequence under 1 other name. Lineage: Archaea; Thermoproteati; Candidatus Bathyarchaeota.